AAUCAACGCUGGCGGCGUGCCUCAGACAUGCAAGUCGAACGCGAAAGUCCCCUUCGGGGGAUGAGUAGAGUGGCGUCCGGGUGAGUAACACGUAGGUAAUCUACCUUUGGGUGGGGAAUAACCCCGAGAAAUCGGGGCUAAUACCGCAUAAUGCAGCGGCACCACAUGGUGACAGUUGUUAAAGCGGGGGAUCGCAAGACCUCGCGCCUAAAGAGGAGCCUGCGGCGGAUUAGCAGUUGGUAGGGUAACGGCCUACCAAGGCAACGAUCCGUAGCCGGCCUGAGAGGGGCGGUCGGCCACACUGACACUGAAAUACGGGUCAGACUCCUACGGGAGGCAGCAGUCGGGAAUUUUGGGCAAUGGGCGAAAGCCUGACCCAGCAACGCCGCGUGAAGGAUGAAAUCCCUCGGGAUGUAAACUUCGCAAGAACAGGAAGAAUAAGUAGGGGACAAUACCCCCU
Molecule: ribosomal RNA, 460 nt
Filed under: uncultured bacterium
Lineage: Bacteria
Description: bacterial SSU rRNA
Rfam family: Bacterial small subunit ribosomal RNA
Source: RNAcentral